This 253-nucleotide ribosomal RNA is filed under the name uncultured bacterium. Its description in RNAcentral is "partial 16S ribosomal RNA". It matches the Rfam family "Bacterial small subunit ribosomal RNA", at positions 524 to 776 of the family's 1533-position model. The record is from RNAcentral.
GACAGAGGUCCCGAGCGUUAGGCGGAAUCACUGGGCUUAAAGCGUGUGUAGGCGGAUGCCUAAGUACCUUGUGAAAUCCCACGGCUCACCCGUGGAACUGCUUGGUAUACUGGGUGUCUUGAGCCACUUAGGGGCUACCGGAACAAAUGGUGGAGCGGUGAAAUGCGUAGAUAUCUGGAGGAACACCGGUGGCGAAGGCGGCAUCCUGGACCGAGAUUGACGCUGAGGCGCGAAAGCCAGGGGAGCAAACGGG